This 250-nucleotide ribosomal RNA is filed under the name uncultured bacterium. RNAcentral describes it as "partial 16S ribosomal RNA". It matches the Rfam family "Bacterial small subunit ribosomal RNA", at positions 524 to 772 of the family's 1533-position model. The record is from RNAcentral.
UACGGAGGGGGCAAGCGUUGUUCGGAUUUACUGGGCGUAAAGGGAGCGUAGGCGGUCGAUUAAGUCUGAUGUGAAAGCUUUACCACUCAACGGAAAGAGGUCAUCGGAUACUGGUCGACUAGAGUAAGGUAGAGGCAAGCGGAAUUCCUGGUGUAGCGGUGGAAUGUGUAGAUAUCAGGAAGAACACCGGUGGCGAAGGCGGCUUGCUGGGCCUUUACUGACGCUGAGGCUCGAAAGCGUGGGGAGCAAA